This 362-nucleotide ribosomal RNA is filed under the name Mytilus galloprovincialis (Mediterranean mussel). Its description in RNAcentral is "partial 16S ribosomal RNA". It matches the Rfam family "Bacterial large subunit ribosomal RNA", at positions 1916 to 2525 of the family's 2925-position model. The record is from RNAcentral. Lineage: Eukaryota; Metazoa; Mollusca; Bivalvia; Mytilida; Mytilidae.
GUUUGUUGUAAAUGGCGGCGUUAACGUGAGCGUCCUAAGGUAGCGCGAUAAUUUGCUUUUUAAUUGAAGGAUGGUAUGAAAGGGUUAACGAAGAAGAUGCUGUAUCUAAAAAUUUAAUUUAAACUAACUUUAAGGUGAAGAGGCCUUUAUGUAAAAGAAGGACGACAAGACCCUAUGAAGCUUUAUCUUAAUUGAAGGUUUUAGGCUUUUAUACGAUUUUGAUGGGAGAUCAGUAAAAAUAAGUCUUUUACUAUAACAUUAAUCUUACUAGAAUUUACUAAUUUUAUAUGUGUGACUAGCUACUCUAGGGAUAACAGCGCAAUUUCCCCCGAAAGAUGGUAUUGGAGGGGAAGAUUGCGACC